Molecule: non-coding RNA, 268 nt
Organism: Biomphalaria pfeifferi
Lineage: Eukaryota; Metazoa; Mollusca; Gastropoda; Planorbidae
Source: the annotation of a GenBank genome assembly
UUUAGAUUCCUCUGUUUGUUUCUCUUUUCUUGAACUGUCAUCAGCUUGGCCCUUUGGUUUCUUGCCUGUCACACCAAGAUCAUCUGAGUCAGCUGUAUCUAAAUUCUCUAAAGGUUCUUGGUUUGAAUUAUCAGAAUCCCCAUCUGUAUUUGUGCCUUGUUCAGUUCCUGUAUGUUUCUCUGUUCCUUCUGUUUGAGCAUUUUGAGUAUUUGUUUUGUCUUGCUUUGGUUCUUGGGCAGUUUUAGAUUCCUCUGUUUGUUUCUCAUUU